This 378-nucleotide unclassified non-coding RNA is filed under the name plant metagenome. RNAcentral's name for it is "partial contains 5.8S ribosomal RNA, internal transcribed spacer 2, and large subunit ribosomal RNA". The stretch from base 1 to 105 matches the Rfam family "5.8S ribosomal RNA", at positions 50 to 154 of the family's 154-position model. The record is from RNAcentral.
GAAAUGCGAUAAGUAAUGUGAAUUGCAGAAUUCAGUGAAUCAUCGAAUCUUUGAACGCACCUUGCGCUCCUUGGUAUUCCUUGGAGCAUGCCUGUUUGAGUAUCAUGAAAUCUUCAAAGUAAAUCUUUUGUUAACUCAAUUGGUUUCUACUUUGGUAUUGGAGGUCUUUGCAGCUUCACACCUGCUCCUCUUUGUUCAUUAGCUGGAUCUCAGUGUUAUGCUUGGUUCCACUCGGCGUGAUAAGUUAUCUAUCGCUGAGGACACUGUAAAAGGUGGCCAAGGUAAAUGCAGAUGAACCGCUUCUAAUAGUCCAUUGACUUGGACAAUACUUUUAUGAUCUGAUCUCAAAUCAGGUAAGACUACCCGCUGAACUUAAGC